RNAcentral lists this ribosomal RNA (440 nucleotides) under uncultured bacterium. RNAcentral describes it as "partial 16S ribosomal RNA". It matches the Rfam family "Bacterial small subunit ribosomal RNA", at positions 338 to 795 of the family's 1533-position model. The record is from RNAcentral.
CCUACGGGAGGCAGCAGUGGGGAAUAUUGCACAAUGGGGGAAACCCUGAUGCAGCGACGCCGCGUGAGUGAAGAAGUAUUUCGGUAUGUAAAGCUCUAUCAGCAGGGAAGAAAAUGACGGUACCUGACGAAGAAGCCCCGGCGAACUACGUGCCAGCAGCCGCGGUAAUACGUAGGGGGCAAGCGUUAUCCGGAUUUACUGGGUGUAAAGGGGGCGUAGACGGCGAUGCAAGCCAGAAGUGAAAGCCCGGGGCCCAACCCCGGGACUGCUGUGGAAACUGCUUGGCUGGAGUGCAGGAGGGGUAAGCGGAAUUCCUGGUGUAGCGGUGAAAUGCGUAGAUAUUAGGAGGAACACCAGUGGCGAAGGCGGCUUACUGGACUGUAACUGACGUUGAGGCUCGAAAGCGUGGGGAGCAAACAGGAUUAGAUACCCGAGUAGUC